UUAAGUUAGAAAGGGCGCACGGUGGAUGCCUUGACACUAGGAGUCGAUGAAGGACGGGACUAACGCCGAUAUGCUUCGGGGAGCUGUAAGUAAGCUUUGAUCCGAAGAUUUCCGAAUGGGGAAACCCACCAUACGUAAUGGUAUGGUAUCCUUAUCUGAAUACAUAGGGUAAGGAAGACAGACCCAGGGAACUGAAACAUCUAAGUACCUGGAGGAAGAGAAAGCAAAUGCGAUUUCCUGAGUAGCGGCGAGCGAAACGGAACAUAGCCCAAACCAAGAGGCUUGCCUCUUGGGGUUGUAGGACAUUCUAUACGGAGUUACAAAGGAACGAGGUAGACGAAGCGACCUGGAAAGGUCCGUCGUAGAGGGUAACAACCCCGUAGUCGAAACUUCGUUCUCUCUUGAAUGUAUCCUGAGUACGGCGGAACACGUGAAAUUCCGUCGGAAUCUGGGAGGACCAUCUCCCAAGGCUAAAUACUCCCUAGUGAUCGAUAGUGAACCAGUACCGUGAGGGAAAGGUGAAAAGCACCCCGGAAGGGGAGUGAAAGAGAUCCUGAAACCGUGUGCCUACAAAUAGUCAGAGCCCGUUAAUGGGUGAUGGCGUGCCUUUUGUAGAAUGAACCGGCGAGUUACGAUCCCGUGCGAGGUUAAGCUGAAGAGGCGGAGCCGCAGCGAAAGCGAGUCUGAAUAGGGCGUUUAGUACGUGGUCGUAGACCCGAAACCAGGUGAUCUACCCAUGUCCAGGGUGAAGUUCAGGUAACACUGAAUGGAGGCCCGAACCCACGCACGUUGAAAAGUGCGGGGAUGAGGUGUGGGUAGCGGAGAAAUUCCAAUCGAACCUGGAGAUAGCUGGUUCUCCCCGAAAUAGCUUUAGGGCUAGCCUUAAGUGUAAGAGUCUUGGAGGUAGAGCACUGAUUGGACUAGGGGUCCUCAUCGGAUUACCGAAUUCAGUCAAACUCCGAAUGCCAAUGACUUAUCCUUAGGAGUCAGACUGCGAGUGAUAAGAUCCGUAGUCAAAAGGGAAACAGCCCAGACCGCCAGCUAAGGUCCCAAAGUGUGUAUUAAGUGGAAAAGGAUGUGGAGUUGCUUAGACAACUAGGAUGUUGGCUUAGAAGCAGCCACCAUUUAAAGAGUGCGUAAUAGCUCACUAGUCGAGUGACUCUGCGCCGAAAAUGUACCGGGGCUAAAUACACCACCGAAGCUGCGGAUUGAUACCAAUGGUAUCAGUGGUAGGGGAGCGUUCUAAGGACAGUGAAGUCAGACCGGAAGGACUGGUGGAGUGCUUAGAAGUGAGAAUGCCGGUAUGAGUAGCGAAAGACGGGUGAGAAUCCCGUCCACCGAAUGCCUAAGGUUUCCUGAGGAAGGCUCGUCCGCUCAGGGUUAGUCAGGACCUAAGCCGAGGCCGACAGGCGUAGGCGAUGGACAACAGGUUGAUAUUCCUGUACCACCUCUUUAUCGUUUGAGCAAUGGAGGGACGCAGAAGGAUAGAAGAAGCGUGCGAUUGGUUGUGCACGUCCAAGCAGUUAGGCUGAUAAGUAGGCAAAUCCGCUUAUCGUGAAGGCUGAGCUGUGAUGGGGAAGCUCCUUAUGGAGCGAAGUCUUUGAUUCCCCGCUGCCAAGAAAAGCUUCUAGCGAGAUAAAAGGUGCCUGUACCGCAAACCGACACAGGUAGGCGAGGAGAGAAUCCUAAGGUGUGCGAGAGAACUCUGGUUAAGGAACUCGGCAAAAUGACCCCGUAACUUCGGGAGAAGGGGUGCUUUCUUAACGGAAAGCCGCAGUGAAUAGGCCCAAGCGACUGUUUAGCAAAAACACAGCUCUCUGCGAAGCCGUAAGGCGAAGUAUAGGGGGUGACACCUGCCCGGUGCUGGAAGGUUAAGGAGAGGGGUUAGCGUAAGCGAAGCUCUGAACUGAAGCCCCAGUAAACGGCGGCCGUAACUAUAACGGUCCUAAGGUAGCGAAAUUCCUUGUCGGGUAAGUUCCGACCCGCACGAAAGGUGUAACGAUUUGGGCACUGUCUCAACCAGAGACUCGGUGAAAUUAUAGUACCUGUGAAGAUGCAGGUUACCCGCGACAGGACGGAAAGACCCCGUGGAGCUUUACUGUAGCCUGAUAUUGAAUUUUGGUACAGUUUGUACAGGAUAGGCGGGAGCCUUUGAAACCGGAGCGCUAGCUUCGGUGGAGGCGCUGGUGGGAUACCGCCCUGACUGUAUUGAAAUUCUAACCUACGGGUCUUAUCGACCCGGGAGACAGUGUCAGGUGGGCAGUUUGACUGGGGCGGUCGCCUCCUAAAGUGUAACGGAGGCGCCCAAAGGUUCCCUCAGAAUGGUUGGAAAUCAUUUGUAGAGUGCAAAGGCAUAAGGGAGCUUGACUGCGAGACCUACAAGUCGAGCAGGGACGAAAGUCGGGCUUAGUGAUCCGGUGGUUCCGCAUGGAAGGGCCAUCGCUCAACGGAUAAAAGCUACCCCGGGGAUAACAGGCUUAUCUCCCCCAAGAGUCCACAUCGACGGGGAGGUUUGGCACCUCGAUGUCGGCUCAUCGCAUCCUGGGGCUGUAGUCGGUCCCAAGGGUUGGGCUGUUCGCCCAUUAAAGCGGUACGCGAGCUGGGUUCAGAACGUCGUGAGACAGUUCGGUCCCUAUCCGUCGUGGGCGUAGGAAAUUUGAGAGGAGCUGUCCUUAGUACGAGAGGACCGGGAUGGACGCACCGCUGGUGUACCAGUUGUUCUGCCAAGGGCAUAGCUGGGUAGCUAUGUGCGGAAGGGAUAAGUGCUGAAAGCAUCUAAGCAUGAAGCCCCCCUCAAGAUGAGAUUUCCCAUAGCGUAAGCUAGUAAGAUCCCUGAAAGAUGAUCAGGUUGAUAGGUUCGAGGUGGAAGCAUGGUGACAUGUGGAGCUGACGAAUACUAAUAGAUCGAGGACUUAACCAU
RNAcentral lists this ribosomal RNA (2920 nucleotides) under Bacillus anthracis str. A1055. RNAcentral's name for it is "bacterial LSU rRNA". It matches the Rfam family "Bacterial large subunit ribosomal RNA". The record is from RNAcentral. Lineage: Bacteria; Bacillati; Bacillota; Bacilli; Caryophanales; Bacillaceae.